CGAGCGGACAGAAGGGAGCUUGCUCCCGGAUGUUAGCGGCGGACGGGUGAGUAACACGUGGGUAACCUGCCUGUAAGACUGGGAUAACUCCGGGAAACCGGAGCUAAUACCGGAUAGUUCCUUGAACCGCAUGGUUCAAGGAUGAAAGACGGUUUCGGCUGUCACUUACAGAUGGACCCGCGGCGCAUUAGCUAGUUGGUGAGGUAACGGCUCACCAAGGCGACGAUGCGUAGCCGACCUGAGAGGGUGAUCGGCCACACUGGGACUGAGACACGGCCCAGACUCCUACGGGAGGCAGCAGUAGGGAAUCUUCCGCAAUGGACGAAAGUCUGACGGAGCAACGCCGCGUGAGUGAUGAAGGUUUUCGGAUCGUAAAGCUCUGUUGUUAGGGAAGAACAAGUGCAAGAGUAACUGCUUGCACCUUGACGGUACCUAACCAGAAAGCCACGGCUAACUACGUGCCAGCAGCCGCGGUAAUACGUAGGUGGCAAGCGUUGUCCGGAAUUAUUGGGCGUAAAGGGCUCGCAGGCGGUUUCUUAAGUCUGAUGUGAAAGCCCCCGGCUCAACCGGGGAGGGUCAUUGGAAACUGGGAAACUUGAGUGCAGAAGAGGAGAGUGGAAUUCCACGUGUAGCGGUGAAAUGCGUAGAGAUGUGGAGGAACACCAGUGGCGAAGGCGACUCUCUGGUCUGUAACUGACGCUGAGGAGCGAAAGCGUGGGGAGCGAACAGGAUUA
Molecule: ribosomal RNA, 734 nt
Filed under: Bacillus aerophilus
Lineage: Bacteria; Bacillati; Bacillota; Bacilli; Caryophanales; Bacillaceae
Description: bacterial SSU rRNA
Rfam family: Bacterial small subunit ribosomal RNA
Source: RNAcentral